RNAcentral lists this unclassified non-coding RNA (240 nucleotides) under soil metagenome. Its description in RNAcentral is "partial contains 5.8S ribosomal RNA, internal transcribed spacer 2, and large subunit ribosomal RNA". The record is from RNAcentral.
AACGCACGAGACCUGCGGACCUGCGGAAGGAUCAUUACCGAGUUUACAACUCCCAAACCCAAUGUGAACGUUACCAAACUGUUGCCUCGGCGGGAUCUCUGCCCCGGGUGCGUCGCAGCCCCGGACCAAGGCGCCCGCCGGAGGACCAACCUAAAACUCUUUUUGUAUACCCCCUCGCGGGUUUUUUUAUAAUCUGAGCCUUCUCGGCGCCUCUCGUAGGCGUUUCGAAAAUGAAUCAAA